Molecule: ribosomal RNA, 458 nt
Filed under: Coccophagus sp. RDB-1999
Lineage: Eukaryota; Metazoa; Arthropoda; Insecta; Hymenoptera; Aphelinidae
Description: eukaryotic LSU rRNA
Source: RNAcentral
CCUGAGAAACCCAAAAGAUCGAAUGGGGAGAUUCAUCGUCAGCCGCUUUGGCUUCCGUGCGGCGCGCGAUGACGCGGGACUUCGGUCUCGCGUCACGCCGUCGCUGCGGUAUGUCCGAGGUGGUCGACGUGCACUUCUCCCCUAGUAGGACGUCGCGACCCGUUGGGUGUCGGCCUACGGCCCGGUGCGUCGACUGACGUGUCGCGUUUACGCGCGCACGCGUCAGACGCCCGGUUGCCCGGCCGGCUGCCCGGCGGUAUAGAACGAUCAAAUCAAUCUGGUAUUGGGCCGCAUUAAGUGCGUUCAGGCUCGUCGGCAGGCUCGCCUCGCUCGGAUUUACGGACCUAGUGCCGUAGCCGGGUGCUUGGUGUGGCCGUUAGUCGACGAUGUCCUCGGACUGGCUCUAAAAUAUUCGAACGGAUAUACCGGUCGGCGACGCUACUGCUUUGGGUACUUUC